This 406-nucleotide ribosomal RNA is filed under the name uncultured bacterium. RNAcentral's name for it is "bacterial SSU rRNA". It matches the Rfam family "Bacterial small subunit ribosomal RNA", at positions 355 to 775 of the family's 1533-position model. The record is from RNAcentral.
UGGGGAAUAUUGGGCAAUGGGCGAAAGCCUGACCCAGCAACGCCGCGUGAAGGAAGAAGGUUUUCGGAUUGUAAACUUCUGUCCUCAGGGAAGAAGGAAGUGACGGUACCUGAGGAGGAAGCCCCGGCUAACUACGUGCCAGCAGCCGCGGUAAUACGUAGGGGGCGAGCGUUGUCCGGAAUGACUGGGCGUAAAGGGCGCGUAGACGGCUAUAUAAGUCUGGAGUGAAAGUCCUGCUUUCAAGGUGGGAAUUGCUUUGGAGACUGUAUGGCUUGAGUGCGGAAGAGGUAAGUGGAAUUCCCAGUGUAGCGGUGAAAUGCGUAGAGAUUGGGAAGAACACCAGUGGCGAAGGCGACUUACUGGGCCGUAACUGACGUUGAUGCGCGAAAGCGUGGGGAGCGAACAG